AGCAGCCGCGGUAACUCCAGCUCCAAUAGCAUAUAUUAAAAUUGCUGCAGUUAAAAAGCUCGUAGUUGGAUCUGGGUUCUGGUCUGGAACAUCUCGGGUCAAUAUAGUGUUAUGCAUUUAUUGGUUCUUGGUUUAUCUAGGCCGAAUCUUCCAGCUGUGUCUAUGUGGUACUUCGGUAUUGCGUAGAUAGUGUAGUUGUCUGCGAUUGCUUCACAGCUUUCCAGCUUCGACUCUAUGCACUGUUAUGCCCUUAACCGGGUGUUCAGUGUGGACAGCACGUUUACUUUGAACAAAUUUGAGUGCUCAAAGCAGGCCUU
This 317-nucleotide ribosomal RNA is filed under the name Gyrodactylus rarus. RNAcentral describes it as "bacterial SSU rRNA". It matches the Rfam family "Eukaryotic small subunit ribosomal RNA", at positions 569 to 788 of the family's 1831-position model. The record is from RNAcentral. Lineage: Eukaryota; Metazoa; Platyhelminthes; Monogenea; Gyrodactylidea; Gyrodactylidae.